RNAcentral lists this ribosomal RNA (253 nucleotides) under uncultured bacterium. RNAcentral's name for it is "partial 16S ribosomal RNA". It matches the Rfam family "Bacterial small subunit ribosomal RNA", at positions 524 to 776 of the family's 1533-position model. The record is from RNAcentral.
UACAUGGGGUGCAAACGUUGCUCGGAAUUAUUGGGCGUAAAGCGCGCGUAGGCGGUUACUUAAGUCGGAUGGGAAAGCCCUCGGCUUAACUGAGGAAGUGCACCCGAAACUGAGUAGCUAGAGUACGAAAGAGGGUCGCGGAAUUCCCGGUGUAGAGGUGAAAUUCGUAGAUAUCGGGAGGAACACCGGUGGCGAAGGCGGCGACCUGGGUCGAGACUGACGCUGAGGCGCGAAAGCGUGGGGAGCAAACAGG